UUAGCUCAUAUUUGUAUGGAAUGGGAUCGUUUGCGUAGGUUUGCCGCUAGGGGCGCUGUUCCAACUGCAUACAAAAUUGGGUUA
This 84-nucleotide microRNA precursor is filed under the name Bombyx mori (domestic silkworm). RNAcentral's name for it is "mir-2807 microRNA precursor family". It matches the Rfam family "mir-2807 microRNA precursor family". Lineage: Eukaryota; Metazoa; Arthropoda; Insecta; Lepidoptera; Bombycidae. The record is from Rfam by way of RNAcentral.